ACCAGUCUAAGUAUUGUUUGGACU
This 24-nucleotide microRNA is filed under the name Prunus persica (peach). RNAcentral's name for it is "microRNA miRNA_90". The record is from RNAcentral. Lineage: Eukaryota; Viridiplantae; Streptophyta; Magnoliopsida; Rosales; Rosaceae.